UGGCAAUACUCAGUAUGCCAUGGCUGCUUAAUCAGUGAUUAAGUAACCAUUUGGGCCGCCGCACAGGUUCGCUUCUUUCCAUGUGCCGCCGCCGACUCAAAACAAAAGGAGAUGCUGCAAUAGUAGGCUGUGCCUAUUGCUUAAGAUUAUCCAGCUAAGUGAUGAAUUGGUUUGUUCUUUUCCGGUUCAUCGCCUACAAUUAAUAAAGAAAUAAGCAUGUAGAAAGCUAAUGGUCACGAUGUUUGGACACCGGUUCGACUCCGGUCGGCUCCACAA
This 276-nucleotide transfer-messenger RNA is filed under the name Sediminibacterium sp. RNAcentral describes it as "partial transfer-messenger RNA". It matches the Rfam family "transfer-messenger RNA", at positions 92 to 374 of the family's 374-position model. From Rfam's summary of the family: Bacterial tmRNA, also known as 10Sa RNA or SsrA, is named for its dual tRNA and mRNA-like properties. Its role is to liberate the mRNA from a stalled ribosome. Lineage: Bacteria; Pseudomonadati; Bacteroidota; Chitinophagia; Chitinophagales; Chitinophagaceae. The record is from RNAcentral.